This 253-nucleotide ribosomal RNA is filed under the name uncultured bacterium. RNAcentral describes it as "partial 16S ribosomal RNA". It matches the Rfam family "Bacterial small subunit ribosomal RNA", at positions 524 to 776 of the family's 1533-position model. The record is from RNAcentral.
UACAGAGGGGGCAAGCGUUGUUCGGAAUUACUGGGCGUAAAGGGCGCGUAGGCGGCCUUCUAAGUCGAACGUGAAAUCCCCGGGCUCAACCCGGGAACUGCGUCCGAUACUGGAAGGCUUGAAUCCGGGAGAGGGAUGCGGAAUUCCAGGUGUAGCGGUGAAAUGCGUAGAUAUCUGGAGGAACACCGGUGGCGAAGGCGGCGUCCUGGACCAACACUGACACUGAUGAGCGAAAGCCAGGGGAGCAAACGGG